AUGAACGCUGGCGGCGUGCCUAAUACAUGCAAGUCGAGCGAACGGACGAGAAGCUUGCUUCUCUGCUGUUAGCGGCGGACGGGUGAGUAACACGUGGAUAACUUACCUAUAAGACUGGGAUAACUUCGGGAAACCGGAGCUAAUACCGGAUAAUAUUUUGAACCGCAUGUUUCAAAAGUGAAAGACGGUCUUGUUGUCACUUAUAGAUGGAUCCGCGCUGCAUUAGCUAGUUGGUAAGGUAACGGCUUACCAAGGCAACGAUGCAUAGCCGACCUGAGAGGGUGAUCGGCCACACUGGAACUGAGACACGGUCCAGACUCCUACGGGAGGCAUCAGUAGGGAAUCUUCCGCAAUGGGCGAAAGCCUGACGGAGCAACGCCGCGUGAGUGAUGAAGGUCUUCGGAUCGUAAAACUCUGUUAUUAGGGAAGAACAUAUGUGUAAGUAACUGUGCACAUCUUGACGGUACCUAAUCAGAAAGCCACGGCUAACUACGUG
RNAcentral lists this ribosomal RNA (496 nucleotides) under uncultured bacterium. Its description in RNAcentral is "partial 16S ribosomal RNA". It matches the Rfam family "Bacterial small subunit ribosomal RNA", at positions 29 to 507 of the family's 1533-position model. The record is from RNAcentral.